This is a long non-coding RNA of Nicotiana tabacum (common tobacco), 640 nucleotides long. RefSeq lists it as uncharacterized. Lineage: Eukaryota; Viridiplantae; Streptophyta; Magnoliopsida; Solanales; Solanaceae. The record is from RefSeq and is a predicted model, not a curated record.
AUUUUCUUUUCACCCUAAAAUCUCUCAAAUACAAGUACUUUCAGCCUAAAAUCCCUAGAGACUCGACCGCUAACCGAUCGAUCCUUCAAAAUUCAGAAGGUAAAAUUCGAUCGUACCUAAAAUCCCUAGAGAUGGCGAAGCUAAAAUUCAGAAGGUUAUAAAGAAUUAAACUCAGAAAGGUUGCAAAGAGGAGACGACGAAGCUAAAAUCCCUAGGAACGGCCGAUAACUCCUUCAAAAUUCAGAAGGUAAAAAAACUAAGAAAGGUUGCAAAGAGCGAGGCGCCACUUUGUCGUCAUUGUUGAGAGCUCUGUACAGAAUGAACUCUGUUUAAUUUCUUGUUUGGAGGCCUUAAUCCAAAGUACUUUACACAAAUUAUACUAUUGGACUAUCCGCCUAAACAAGAGUUUUGGAUAUUGAAGUACUAGAAGCAUAUUUUUGACGACAUACAGAUUAGCCAUCAUUUUGCCGAGAAUUUCAAGAAAAUUUUACAUUACAAUCGAGAGAUAUUAGUGAUAUGUAAUUUUUUGCUAAAUGUUUAUGAACACAAUAUUGUGACUAGCUUACAUCAUUGAUGUACGGUGCAACUAACUGCUGUUGAGUAUUUUUGGUAUUAUUUUAUGAUAGCAACAUCAUCUAUA